CCCUUAGAUGUUCUGGCCGCACGCGCGCUACACUGAUGCAUUCAACGAGUCUAAAACCUGCUCUGAUAGGGGUGGGUAAUCUUUUGAAUGUGCAUCGUGAUUGGGAUAGAUGAUUGCAAUUUUUCAUCUUCAACGAGGAAUGCCUAGUAAACGCAAGUCAUCAGCUUGCAUUGAUUACGUCCCUGCCCUUUGUACACACCGCCCGUCGCUCCUACCGAUUGAAUGAUCCGAUGAAUAUCAUGGAUUGAGGAUGCAAGUAGGUUAGCCUAUCUUCAUCUUCGAGAAGUGAAGUAAAUCUUAUCAUUUAGAGGAAGGAGAAGUCGUAACA
RNAcentral lists this ribosomal RNA (328 nucleotides) under uncultured eukaryote. Its description in RNAcentral is "partial 18S ribosomal RNA". It matches the Rfam family "Eukaryotic small subunit ribosomal RNA", at positions 1470 to 1796 of the family's 1831-position model. The record is from RNAcentral.